Molecule: ribosomal RNA, 903 nt
Filed under: Cladosporium cladosporioides
Lineage: Eukaryota; Fungi; Ascomycota; Dothideomycetes; Cladosporiales; Cladosporiaceae
Description: LSU rRNA
Rfam family: Eukaryotic large subunit ribosomal RNA
Source: RNAcentral
AUAGCAUAUCAAUAAGCGGAGGAAAAGAAACCAACAGGGAUUGCUCUAGUAACGGCGAGUGAAGCAGCAAUAGCUCAAAUUUGAAAUCUGGCGUCUUCGACGUCCGAGUUGUAAUUUGUAGAGGAUGCUUCUGAGUGGCCACCGACCUAAGUUCCUUGGAACAGGACGUCAUAGAGGGUGAGAAUCCCGUAUGCGGUCGGAAAGGCGCUCUAUACGUAGCUCCUUCGACGAGUCGAGUUGUUUGGGAAUGCAGCUCUAAAUGGGAGGUAAAUUUCUUCUAAAGCUAAAUAUUGGCCAGAGACCGAUAGCGCACAAGUAGAGUGAUCGAAAGAUGAAAAGCACUUUGGAAAGAGAGUUAAAAAGCACGUGAAAUUGUUAAAAGGGAAGGGAUUGCAACCAGACUUGCUCGCGGUGUUCCGCCGGUCUUCUGACCGGUCUACUCGCCGCGUUGCAGGCCAGCAUCGUCUGGUGCCGCUGGAUAAGACUUGAGGAAUGUAGCUCCCUCGGGAGUGUUAUAGCCUCUUGUGAUGCAGCGAGCGCCGGGCGAGGUCCGCGCUUCGGCUAGGAUGCUGGCGUAAUGGUCGUAAUCCGCCCGUCUUGAAACACGGACCAAGGAGUCUAACAUCUAUGCGAGUGUUCGGGUGUCAAACCCCUACGCGUAAUGAAAGUGAACGGAGGUGAGAACCGCCAGGUGCAUCAUCGACCGAUCCUGAUGUCUUUGGAUGGAUUUGAGUAAGAGCAUAGCUGUUGGGACCCGAAAGAUGGUGAACUAUGCCUGAAUAGGGUGAAGCCAGAGGAAACUCUGGUGGAGGCUCGCAGCGGUUCUGACGUGCAAAUCGAUCGUCAAAUUUGGGUAUAGGGGCGAAAGACUAAUCGAACCAUCUAGUAGCUGGUUCCUGCCGA